UGCUGGAGGUAUCAGAAGUGCGAAUGCUGACAUAAGUAACGAUAAAGCGGGUGAAAAGCCCGCUCGCCGGAAGACCAAGGGUUCCUGUCCAACGUUAAUCGGGGCAGGGUGAGUCGACCCCUAAGGCGAGGCCGAAAGGCGUAGUCGAUGGGAAACGGGUUAAUAUUCCCGUACUUGGUGUUACUGCGAAGGGGGGACGGAGAAGGCUAUGUUGGCCGGGCGACGGUUGUCCCGGUUUAAGCGUGUAGGUGUGUGUUCCAGGUAAAUCCGGUUCACUUUAACACUGAGGCGUGACGACGAGGCACUACGGUGCUGAAGCAACAAAUGCCCUGCUUCCAGGAAAAGCCUCUAAGCAUCAGGUAACAUCAAAUCGUACCCCAAACCGACACAGGUGGUCAGGUAGAGAAUACCAAGGCGCUUGAGAGAACUCGGGUGAAGGAACUAGGCAAAAUGGUGCCGUAACUUCGGGAGAAGGCACGCUGACACGUAGGUGAAGUGAUUUACUCAUGGAGCUGAAGUCAGUCGAAGAUACCAGCUGGCUGCAACUGUUUAUUAAAAACACAGCACUGUGCAAACACGAAAGUGGACGUAUACGGUGUGACGCCUGCCCGGUGCCGGAAGGUUAAUUGAUGGGGUCAGCGCAAGCGAAGCUCCUGAUCGAAGCCCCGGUAAACGGCGGCCGUAACUAUAACGGUCCUAAGGUAGCGAAAUUCCUUGUCGGGUAAGUUCCGACCUGCACGAAUGGCGUAAUGAUGGCCAGGCUGUCUCCACCCGAGACUCAGUGAAAUUGAACUCGCUGUGAAGAUGCAGUGUACCCGCGGCAAGACGGAAAGACCCCGUGAACCUUUACUAUAGCUUGACACUGAACAUUGAGCCUUGAUGUGUAGGAUAGGUGGGAGGCUUUGAAGUGUGGACGCCAGUCUGCAUGGAGCCGACCUUGAAAUACCACCCUUUAAUGUUUGAUGUUCUAACGUGGACCCGUAAUCCGGGUUGCGGACAGUGUCUGGUGGGUAGUUUGACUGGGGCGGUCUCCUCCUAAAGAGUAACGGAGGAGCACGAAGGUUGGCUAAUCCUGGUCGGACAUCAGGAGGUUAGUGCAAUGGCAUAAGCCAGCUUGACUGCGAGCGUGACGGCGCGAGCAGGUGCGAAAGCAGGUCAUAGUGAUCCGGUGGUUCUGAAUGGAAGGGCCAUCGCUCAACGGAUAAAAGGUACUCCGGGGAUAACAGGCUGAUACCGCCCAAGAGUUCAUAUCGACGGCGGUGUUUGGCACCUCGAUGUCGGCUCAUCACAUCCUGGGGCUGAAGUAGGUCCCAAGGGUAUGGCUGUUCGCCAUUUAAAGUGGUACGCGAGCUGGGUUUAGAACGUCGUGAGACAGUUCGGUCCCUAUCUGCCGUGGGCGCUGGAGAACUGAGGGGGGCUGCUCCUAGUACGAGAGGACCGGAGUGGACGCAUCACUGGUGUUCGGGUUGUCAUGCCAAUGGCACUGCCCGGUAGCUAAAUGCGGAAGAGAUAAGUGCUGAAAGCAUCUAAGCACGAAACUUGCCCCGAGAUGAGUUCUCCCUGAGACUUAGAGUCUCCUGAAGGAACGUUGAAGACGACGACGUUGAUAGGCCGGGUGUGUAAGCGCAGCGAUGCGUUGAGCUAACCGGUAC
Molecule: ribosomal RNA, 1652 nt
Filed under: Salmonella enterica subsp. enterica serovar Typhimurium var. 5-
Lineage: Bacteria; Pseudomonadati; Pseudomonadota; Gammaproteobacteria; Enterobacterales; Enterobacteriaceae
Description: bacterial LSU rRNA
Rfam family: Bacterial large subunit ribosomal RNA
Source: RNAcentral